Long non-coding RNA from Taeniopygia guttata (zebra finch), 3474 nucleotides. The record is from Ensembl. Lineage: Eukaryota; Metazoa; Chordata; Aves; Passeriformes; Estrildidae.
UUCUUGCUCUCCAUCCACGUGUGGGCGUGCUUUCAGACACUGGCUCUCAAACUGGAUUUGGCAUCUUCUCCCUAAAGGUAAUAUUCCAUCUACAACACCAGACCUCGGCUGGGUCUGCUUAUCCAGCCUUUUCCCAAAGUUUUUACAGAAUAACUCUCCAAAGGAGGUAAUAUGUGUCUCCCAGUGAUUUCCUCUUCAUAGCUGGGGAUGAGUGAAGAUCCUGGUAAAGGAUUCUGCCAUUUAAAAAAGCAGGUCACCUCCUGAACUCAUCUAGUUGACCAGUUUUGUAAAUAAUAGAGUGGAUAAUGAAUAAUCAUUUAUCACCUUGGAAUCUCAAUUCCAGCAUGUUAUGGAGAAGCAUGUGUCUGUCCCAAAUUCUGCAUUUCCCUCCCCUCUGGACUAAUGGACUGUGUGCAUUAGUUCAUUCAGAAAUGUCUUUCUGGUUUCCCCAUUUAACCUACUUAUCUUAAACUAUCUUAUCCUAUUUGCUCUACAAUUUCUGAAAAUAUCCUACCCCAGGACAAGAUCAUUCUUGUGAAAUUUUUGUGUGUAUUGGUUUAUUUUUGGCAAAGUUAGGAGGUAGUUAAAAUGAGACUUAUAAUGGAAAGCUAGCUGCUAGCGACUCUCCAUAACACAUGUCUACCUUGCAGGAGAGUUGUGAGGAUUAAUUAAUUUGUGUUUGUUAAGCACUUUGAGAUCCUAAGAUUAAAGGUUCUAUAGAAAUGCAAAUUGUUAUUAUAAUGAUAAAUUCUUUAUAUGAGCUCAUAUAUUUUGCCUUAGAGGCACAGUCUCACCCUGAGUUGCGUAGUUAUACACGUAAAUCUGCAAACAUUAUGAUGAAAAUGUACCUCUGAAGGUCUGAUCCUUUCUACUGCUCUACCAGUUCAUGCAUAGAGCUGCCCUUGAUUUCAGGCAGGUCCCAUCAAUGGCACAAUUGUAGGAUUCAAUUUGUUUAGGAAAAGACCGUUGUAUGCCUCCAGGCUUCACACUGAGACACACAACUUUCUGUCUCACUCCAUAAAACCACUACUUGCUGUCAGCAGUUAUUCCAUCUUAUUAAUGAACUGACUGAACAGAUGACAAAAUCUGGAUCUGAAUUCUGACCCUUCCAAAACUCAGGUUUUCAGAGGUUUAUUUAACCUGUUAGAGAAUGAGAGGUAACAAUCCCCUAAUGGAUAUAGGAUUGAAUGUCAUUCCUGACACAAAAGAUGUGACUGUUUGUCCUUUUCCCCUUGUGAUUUGGCAAACAAAGGUUUUCAGGCACAAGUUGCCAAAGGACUACCCCUUGCAGGGAUCAAGGCCACAGCUGCACAAGCUUGGCAGACCCACGACCCUCUCCCAAAGAAAGCUCUCUGCUUUUCCUUCCCCCUUGCACAGGCUUGGAGCACCACGCUGCCCAUCCCCUGCCUGCAAGGGUGUUUGACCAUCCUGGUCAAUGUCCUUGUCUGAAGCACUGAUCCAACACAGGGGCUGUGCAACAGACAGGAAGCAGGGUCCUGGGAGAGGGACCUUUUCCAUCUUCCAUCCCAACAUGCCUCUGCGCCUUCCUUGCCACAUCUCUGGCACACAGAUGCCUCAACUCACACCAUUAGAGAACUGAGUCAAAAAAAUGUCAUGAGGGUUUUUUUUGCAUCACCCAUGGGCUUAUCUGAGUGCAGAAUACAGUGCCAGAAAUACCAGCUGUAUAAGAAGUCUACUGCCCAACCUCACACCCAAUGUAGAACUAUCAGCAGGCACCAGAGCGGGUCAGCCAUGGCUUUUUCUCACUUAAACUUGAAAACCUCCAAGAAUGGCCCCUCCACUUCUGUCUCACAGUUGCACUACUCUCCUGGAGAAGAAGUUUCUCCAAUAUCCAACCAGAACUGCCAGUGGCACAAUUUAUGGCCAUUGCUUUUCACUAUAAUGUCUGACAAUGCUUAGAAAUAAUAAUCUCUUAAACUGCUUUUCAUCAGAUUAAACUAAUCCCAAAUUAAACUCCAGUCAUAAUCUAAAAUGUGAAGUUUUCAAUAUGAGGUGUUUCUUCUUGGAUGUUUGCAGUGGGGAGCGUGUAGGUAAGAUUACAACUCAUUCAUUCCCUGAAUAUGAACUAAAAGUAAGGAACCUACUACCACUUCAAAGUCUUUUACUAUUUGUUGUGUAGUGUCAAAAGACUUAUGUUGAAAGUUUUUCCAGGAGUGGAAUGUAUGAUACAGAAAUGUAUUAUUCCCUUCCCCUGACAUGAAAACUUUCAGAAGUUCUCAGUUUGAGAAGCUGUCUGCUACAUGAUAUAUAGCUAGAAUUAUCAUGGAAGGGAAUGAAUACUUGCUAUGUUUAACAUAUGCAGAAUUUAUAACCUCCAAAAUUUUAUACUUUUCUUUUUUUCUUCCCCAGAUAUUCUGAGCCGUGUCACAGGUUUGAUGCACUAUUCAAUAUAUUCACUUCUACCAUUCCCUUCAUCAGUUCCCCCUAUCAAAGGUGAUAACUAAAGACUAACAUUAUCACAAAGCCCAAGAAACCAUGCUGACUUCUGAUGGGCUUCUUAAAUUUUCUACUGCCCUAAGAGAAAAAGAUGUCCUUUAUGUUAUUGACAGUCAUCUAUCUGAAGACAGCAAAAGUUGGAGGAAGGCUGUGGGGAAAACCAAGACACUGAGCUUUCCAGUUGUCCUUACUUUUACUGCAAAUCAUAAGUGUGUACUCAGAGCUCUCCACUGGGAUGCACAUUUUGCAGAAGACAAACCUUUGUGAGCAAAUGUCAAAAUGAACAACAUGCAUGCAUGAAGUCCAGCAGGGCUGGGCUCUGCUCAUUGAUACAUGCCAUGGGCCACCACAGCUCCCUGUCUAUUCACACCACACAGUGAAUUCUCCACCAGCAGCUGUCAGUUUGCUGGAGCAGUCUGUAAUCUCACUGUGUUUGCACAACACCUUAAGAUCUGAUCCACACGAGAGGAUUUAAAUCCGCAAGAUGUAAAUUUCUGCAAAUUGUGGCAUACUCAGGUGCUGCUGCUUCACCAGACAGCAUUCUCCUUUCUGAGUGGCCAUUGCACUGUGUGCAGGAGAAGACAGAUCCAAGGGUCAGGUCCAGCACCGACACCACUGGUGGCCAUUAUUUGAUUGUGAUACUCAAUGAGCCUACAAGCACUGAGUGCUUCCUCAUUCAAAACUGCUCAGACUUUCAGGCUGUUUCUAGACUAAAUCAAGGUCUUUACCAGGUGGGCUCAGAAGCUGGCUGUGAAUUAUGUGUGACAGCAAAGCCCCAUGGUCCCAGCAAUGACUUCACCAUGGCAGAAGACAGUCCUUUACAGGGGAGAGAGAUGCAGUGUAUGGGCUGAGCACACAGUGCCAUGCCAACAGGACUCACCAUCACCUCCCCACUUGUUGGCUGCACACACAGGAUCUGUCUGCCACUUCCAUGGCUCCCUUUCCAUUAAUUCCACAGAACAGGCUUACCUCUGCUUUUCAAGUUAACGUUCAACAGCUUGCAAGAGCUCUUUUCUU